Molecule: transfer RNA, 86 nt
Filed under: Myxococcus fulvus
Lineage: Bacteria; Pseudomonadati; Myxococcota; Myxococcia; Myxococcales; Myxococcaceae
Description: tRNA-Pro
Source: RNAcentral
AGGCGCUCUUGCAGGCGGCGUGGACGGCGCUCCCCUCGGGAGGGCGCGUCAUCAUCUGCGAGGAGUUCCGCACCCCGGAGCGCCUG